AGAGCCUGCGCCACGGCGGAAGCAGCCAUUGGCGGAGGCGCGAGACCGCAACUGCUCACUUCCGGCGCGGGUCGCCACGAUUUCCCCCGACCCCUACGUCGCCUCGGCCUUCCACCAUGGCCGCCUCUGUGUGGCGUGAGGAGAAGCUGGUCAUCCGUGUCCUCCUGUAGCGCUACUGCCUCACCCUCACCCUCUAGGGCCCGGAUCCAAAGGAGCCUCGCUCCGCAAACCCUGGGCGCCGGCUGGGAAGACCUCCCGGCCCCGACCGCGGGGGCAGGACUCCCCCGCCCCCACCGCUAGGGGCAGAAACUUAGGGUCUUCCCCUCGGUUAGGGUCAGAAGCCAGAGAGGGCUGCCCUCCCACGGCCCCAGGGCCGGAGCCUCGCCCAGCCACCGCGGGGCGCAGACCCCGGCUACCGCACUCUGAGCUAACGGCUUCCCUACAGCCCUGCCACCCCGGAAGCUGCCUUGCAGGACCGGCCGCCUUCGUGCCUCCCAGGCGCGGCCUCGGAGAGGAGGGCGGAGUGCCGAGCACGGGGGCCCGCGCCCUCCCCUCCCCCCGGCCUCCGGCCCCUCUUCCCGGGCGACCCCGAGUUCCCCACUUCUAGGACUUCCCACCCACCCACUCCCCGGCCUUUUCCCGUCUCCUGGCUGCUGCCAUGGAGUUACAGAAGGGAAAGGGGGCAGCAGCAGCAGCUGCUUCGGGAGCGGCGGGAGGUGGAGGAGGAGCGGGAGCAGGAGCCCCAGGAGGGGGGAGGCUGCUACUUUCAACCAGUUUGGAUGCCAAGGAUGAGUUAGAGGAGGUAGGUGUGGCGGGUGGGGAAGGGAGUUAAGAAAUUGGGUUGAGGGAUACGGAGCGGAUAUGGGUGGGGGCGGGGGGAAAGGCCUUCAAGUUUUUUCCAAGGCAACACAAACACUGCUCUAGUUUCCUGCUCCUGAAGGAAGAAGUGUGGGCCAACUUCCUGGAUAGGUUGUCAUAGUAACAGCAGCCACAGUCUGAAAAUGGGUGAGGGGUGUUGGUGAUGGAAGGGAUACAGCAUCCAGAUUUACCGAAUUUAUUUAUUUUUAUUCCUUUCCACAUACACAUCACAGCUAUUUUUAAUGUCCACUCUGUUUCAGACCCAGAUCAUAUUGACUUGAGAAUAAUGUGUGUGUGUUUGUGUGUGUGUAGGUGUCUUGGGCUGAUAGGAGCUUGCAGCAGGCCUUGGACCCUCCUGUUAGAUGGUAUUAUUGACGUCGGCAGACACAGCCAGUUGCCAGUCAACUAGGCAUUUAGAAUGAGGACACGUGAAUAGUGUUAGUUCAGUAGCCUCAGCCACAGGAAUGGGGUGAACAAGUGAAUGUGACCUAGGGGACCAUGUUCCGUAGAAGAGAUAGAGAACACAGAGUUGCUGAGAAGAAUGUAGGGCAGGGGAGGUAGCUCACUCAGUAGUAGCACACUUGCCAAGCAUGCCCCAUGCCUUGAGUUUAAUUCCUAGUACCUCAUUUUUAAAAAGGAUGGAGUGAGGCAAUACCAUGGAACAGAAUGGGAAUUCUUAGGGAACUUGGUAGUUGUUCCUCCCUUCUCUUCCCCCAGUUGUUCUUCCCCUGCUGGUUUGGAGUCGAUCACAUAUCUCUUUCCUAUGCUAUACACAAAGUUAUUGACAUAGGAAUAUAAGACCCAGCCCAGAACUGAGGCAUGAUUCCUGAACUAUUUGUAAAGCCUAUUCAGUGCUUCAACUCAGUGGUUAUCUAGAGACAGGAUGAGGAAAUUAAUAGGCCCUGGCUCUUCACUGUUCAUUCUGCUGCUUCUGAUUUUGUUAUAGCCCUUUAUCAGUUAUUAGAGGGUAGAUAGGCAGAUAGGUGAAACUCAUAAGUUUAUUUGAAAAACUAUUAGUUCAGACACAAGACAGUGAGACAGUGUGAAUCAAGAGGUGGUUAAAUAGCAACUGCAGAUUACCUACCGGCAAAAGUCUACUUGUAGUUUGGCUUCCCCCCAGUAGUUCUCUGAACAUUUAGAUAAAGUUUGUUUUGUGGUUAUUUUUUUUUUUAAAUCAAAAUAAAUAUAAUUAGAAAUGUAAAUAAUACUGCAAAAAUAAUGUAUUUCCAAAAAUUAAAUUGAGUUACUUAAAAAAAAAAAAUCUUGCUUAGGAUUACCUGGAUAUUCAAAUUAUCCUUUUUUAACGAAAUGACCAUUUUGGGGACUAGAGAUGUAGUUCAAAUGGUUAAGUGCUUGCCUGGCAUGCGUGAGGCCGUUGUUCCAUCUCUGAGUACUACACCACCACGAGAGAAAGAAAUGGCCACUUUUAUGUCAGUAGUAAAACUACUGCCUUUGGUUCCUCUAUCAGUUGUAUGGAAGGGAAAAGACUAAUGGUGGAUGAUAAUCUGUUUAUUCCUCAUCCUGAUUCCUACAGGGGUCAUCGUGCCUGUGAUUUAAUUUAAACCACAGGGUAAGACAGCAUCCUGUUCAGUAAACAAAAUGAUAUGGCAGGAGGAGACCACAAAAGAAGGGAAGCAUUUAUUUUCUUGCUUUUUUAGACUGAGAAUGAACUUUUUACUGUUUCCAGGGAGAAGAGGAAGGGAGAGUCCUUUUUUUUUUUCCCCCUAAUCUCCAUGGUGCAGAUGUUUCUUAUUGUGCCUCAAGCUCCUCUACUCUCCUUCCUUCUUGGCCUUUUGUCCUUUGCAUUCAAACUUUCCAGCUAGCCUUACAACACUAUUUUCCCCCCGUUUGUGGUUCUGUCAACCCCACUAGACCAGAGUGAUUUUAAGGGCUCUGACUUCUUCAUCUGGGCCUCAGCACAGAUCUCUGCACACAGAAGUUAUCAAAACCUGGUUGUUGACCAACUGACCUGUGCUUGUUCUGGCUGGGUAAUUUUCCUUUACAGGUCUAUCUAUUCAGGUACGCAGAGGUAGCCCCCUGACCAUGUACACUUACUGUGUGUUGAGAAUUAUAGGGAAAUAAGAUGGGUGAGACCCAAAGUCUGCCUUCCACAGUUUAAUCAUCUGAAGACUUGAAUUAACACACCCAAAAGAAGGUUUAAAACAAAGAGGAUCUGAUUAGAAUAAUGAAGAGGAUGGGGUCAUUAUAGUUGGGUAUGAUUUGGAAAGGCUCUUUAGAGGCCUGGAGUAUGAAGCAUUAGUCAAGGUCAGGGGCUGAGACUCUUCUACCCCAGGGAAUGUUCCUUGUAUCCUUUCUUCUCUUUGACCUCAUUCCUCCCUUUGAAGACCAGUCUCCUUGCUCAUCCCCAGCCCAAUUUGGGGAGGGAAUGGGAUAAAAAUAGUGCCAGAGAUUGGAGGAGUUAGAACAUGUAGUUCCUACUUGCAUGAGCCUUUGCAGCUCCUGGUUAUUCCUUUGUCAAAGAGGGGCCAGCCACCUUGAAGUGAGACUGAAAGCAGGAGCUGUGGCCCAGACAAGUCAGAACUUCUUGAAGUUAUGGAUAGGUCUUAGCAUUGCAUUUGAUUAGAAGUAUGUCCCUGCCAUAUUUUCCCCAGGGAAUAAUUUAUAUCCUUUCCAUGGAAUCGCUAGGGAAUGGGCUUUGAGUCAUUUCCAGUUUUUUUCCAUAAAUCAUCAUUUCACAUACAAGGGACUCCUUGUUGAAUAUAGGUUGUCCUUAAGUAUCCAUAGGGGAUUGGUUCUAGGCCCAUCAGAGGAUGCCAGAAUCUGAGAUGCUCAAGGCCCUAUGUCAGUUCUGUGUACGGGGAAAGGAAGGGCUAGCUGUGCUUGGAACCUGCUGUUGAGUAACUCCUCAUUGAUGUGGGUUCUUGAGGAUUUUGCCCAUUGGAUCAUUUCUUCCUUUCCUGAAGACCAUAGAAUUUAGUGCUUCAAGGCCAAAAUGUCCCAUAAAGGAGCAGUAUAUACUAUUACACUCCCCCCCACCCCAACUAGGGAUUGAACUCAAGGUCCUACCUUGCUAGGCAAGCACUCCACCACUGAGCUAUACCCCCGCAGCUCGUUCUUUCUUUUAUUAUUAUUUUUAAUUUUUUUAGUUGUCAAUAGACCUUUAUUUUAUUUAUUUAUUUAUAUGUGGGGCAGAGAAUCAAACCCAGUACCUCACAUAUGCUAGGCAAGUGCUCUACCACUGAGCUACAACCUCAGCCUUUAUUUUUUAUUUUUUUGAGAUGGCCUUGGUAAUUUGACUAGGCUGCUUUGAACUUAGGUUCCUCCUGCCUCAGCAUCCUGAGUAGCUGAAAUUUUAUUGUACACUUUUUUACCACACUAUAUAUUUUCUUAGCUUAGGGUGGGAAAUGAAAGAUUAGAGGGAUCCUUUUAACUUGAGACUCCAAAGUCAGUUUUCAGCUUCAGGUAUAUAAUGGCAGAUAUCUGUUGCUGUUGUCAUGGUAGUUAUGGUCAGGCAGUCUUAGUACUAGAAAAAUUAGUUGAGGAGCUCCUAGAGAUGAUAAAUAUUUACUCACCUCUCUGAGAUGCUGUUGUAGAGUGCUUAUUCUGAACAGAGCCAUUCUGCCAGCAAUUGUUGGCAGCUACAUACAUGAUUUCAUCUUUACUAAGGGCCUCCAGAGACUGGGGGAAGAAAGAUAUGGUUACUGGAUUGUAGGAAUCUAGUUUCCUGUGGCCCUCUUUGAGGGGAUUUGAUGCUUUUUUUUUUUAAUAUUUAUUUUUUAGUUGUAGUUGGACACAAUACCUUUAUUUUAUUUAUUUUUAUGUGGUGCUGAGGAUCGAACCCAGGGCUUCACAUGUGCCAGGCAAGCACUCUACCACUGAGCCACAACCCCAGCCCAGGAUGUGGUGCUUUUGACAUCCUGAAUCGUUAAUUCUCCAUCCUGUAUGGAGAAGUAAUUUCUAUAGUUCAUGAGGAGUAGUGUCUUCUAUACUCCCAUUGCCUGCAAAGGACUUCCCAUCACAUUUCUCUCUCCAUUGUGUUUAUCUACUUUUCCAGAUUCUGGACUCUCCUACUUUCUACAUCCUUAGCUGGGCCUCCCUGUUUCCAGAGGCCACUUUGUCCUUAACUGGGCAGUGACCCAUAGAAAAUUGACUCAGGCCUCUGAGCAGAGCUUAGAAUAUCCAGGAGGGGCCUAGAGAAACUGUUCCACCCAAGGUCUCUGAGAGUUAAAUCAUAGCGAGAAACUCUACCGCUCAUAGGGCUAUGUAGCCAGCUUUGUAGGAUUUUGGUACAGGGCCCAUCAGGCAGGCCUCUUCUAGAAGUCAAAGGUUUACAGAGGUAAGUAGGAGAGGAAGCAUUUCAGCCUACUCAAGCAUUUAUCCAUGGCCUGUGGUAGGGGGUUAGUUUUCAGGGAUCUUCAAGGACAUGCAAUUAGAAAUAGUGGCAAAUGUUUUGAAGAGUCUGUUCUUCGUAGAUGUAGAUUUGUGCAACUGAUGAGCUUCCUUACAAAUUGGAUAGAUUCUAGCUCAAUGAAGGCUGUAUGCUAGAUGCUUUCAAAUUUUUAUCUUAUUUAAUCCUCAGAGCAACCUUGUGAUAUAGGAAUUAUCUCUAUAUGAUAAGAAAACCAGGGUUUAGAAAGAGUAAAUAACUCACCCAACAUGAACCUAAAGCUAACUAGCAAGUGCGGUUCCUUCUAUGCUGGGUUUCCUGUCAGUUUGCAUUAGUUAGCUGCUGUUUGAUUUUUUCCUCUCUCUGUUGAUUCAGCAGAGAUUUCUUCCUUUGAUAGGAAACAACAUCUAGAAUUUUAGGAUGCUAUGCUGCUGCUUGUUCACUGUGUCCCUCAACUCUGCUUGUUAACCUCCGUUGGAUACAGGGGUACCACCAAGAAUAGUCUAGACUUGGCAGCUAGAAUAACACUCUCUCCAGUCCCUGGUAAGAAUCUUGGGUAGAAAGGGAUGAAACUUUUUUUAAAAGGAAGCCCAGUGUGAUGUUUUUCCUUCCCUUCUCUUUUUAUGUAUGAGGUGUACAAGGUAAUGAUGUAUCUCAGAGUUUGUUGGAGAGGUGGUUUGUGACAGUCACAGCUCAGCUUUCAUGUGAUCUCACAGUUCCCUUUCACAAGUACGCAGGUGCUGUUUAUUAAGGUGGAACCUGCUGAUCUGACCUAAUUUGGGAGAUAGACCUGACAUUUCCAGUGAAGUUGUAAUACCUGCAAACCUGGCAGCUUUGGGUUAUUUUAGGUUGAAGUUUUGUAGCUACCAGAGCUGCUUACAUUAACACAUAAUUCUACCCUCUGCCACCUUAUGUUCUUACCCAGGAUAGACAUACACAACUUCAAGAUGGUGGUUAGAAGAGAAGCAUGAUUAUCUUUCAUGCCUAGACCUUUUCCCAUUGUCCUUAUAUUCAGUUAUUAACAAGAUGUUUUGUUCUGGCAUCUAUAGUCAAAGGGAAGUAAACCAGCCUGCCUUUGUCACAAUUUUGCCAGCAGCAUUAUCAUUGGGGAUCAUUUUUCCUUAAACAGUUUUUGGGUUAAUCCUCAUGAUAAAAGUUUUAAAGGACUAAGGUUUAGGUGUUGAUAGUGGAAAAGCUUUCUGGCAAAAUAUAUGAGAUAUAUUAUCAAUAUCUAAAUGUUUAGUAUCAAAUGCAUCUUUGAAACAAGGAACCAGUGACUAAGAUCUCUUUAGAAAAUGUUGAGCACAUGCCAUGUUUGGGUGGCCUUUGAAAGUAGAAUGGCCCUUGGAUAGUUUUUAAUAUAGCUGUCCCUACUUUUGUUUAACUAGAGACCUUGGCAAGUUUUAGUCUGGCCUUUUAUUCUGUCACUCCUUUUCUUUCCUCAUACUCUCAUUAUUUUUUAAGUUUGUUUUUAGCAUUUUGAGGGAUGUUAGGUAGAACAGUAUCUCCAUAUAGCUGUGUCUAUAUAUUUAGUGCAUGCUGCAUGCAUGUGUAGAAAUAUCAUACAUUCAAUUAAGACAUGUUAACAAAAAAGAAAGUAUUUUUAAUAUAUAUUUAUAUGUGUAUGUAUGUAUGUGUGUGUAUAUAUAUAUAUAUAUAUAUAUAUAUACACACACAUACAUACAUACACAUAUAAAUAUAUAUUAAAAAUACUUUCUUUUUUGUUAACAUGUCUUAAUUGAAUGUAUGAUAUUUCUACACAUGCAUGCAGCAUGCACUAAUCAAUCCAGCCUCUGUUUAUUCACCCUUUCCUACCACUGCCUUUCCCAACCUCUAAUAAUCAGUAUAUAGAUUCACAUUGACUUGUUUUUAGUUUCUACAUACAUGGGAAGUUACAUACAUGUCUUUCUAUAUCUAGCUUAUUUUACNUUUUAGCAAAUACUCAGUACUAAUAUCCUACCUAUGAAUGUUAACAGUACUCUCCUUUAAGCCAUCUCCUGGCUUUACCUCUGGCCUCUGUUGGGUUUUCUGGAAGUCUCAUGAUUAUCUCUCUUCUUGCUUUUUCUUUCUCUUUCUUGUCUCUGCUUCUUUCUCUUAUUUACCUUACCAUCCCCCCAAAAAAAUUUUAACAAUUUCUUACUAUAUAAUCAGUAUUUCAAGUCAGUAAUCCAAGAUCCAUACCUUGUAUUCUGUUUAAGUCUUCAAUUUUCUUUCUUUCUUUCUUUCUUGUGUGUGUGUGUGAGAGAGAGGGAGUGGUGGGGAGGUACUAGGGAUAGAACUCAGUCUUGUGCAUGCUAGGCAAGCACUCUACCACUGAAUUUUAUCUCCAGCCUGACUCUUUUUUUCUUUAAUAUUAUUAUUAAAUUUUUUUAUUUGUUUGUUUUGGCAAUGCUGGGGUUUGAACCUAGGGCCUUGUGCAUGCUAGGCAAGUGCUGUACCACAGAGCUACAUUUCCCAGCCUAGAUUCUUUAAUUUGUUUAAUAACUUUAUUUCAAAAUAAUUUCAAACUUAAAGAAAAAUUAUAAUACAUAGAAUGCUCAUAUGCUUUUCACUUAUAUUUGCUGAUUAUUAGUAUGUGGCACAUCUGCUAUAUUACUCUAUAUAUAUACAGAUAUUUUAUUCUUUUGAAAGUAGCAGCCAUUGAUGCUCCUUUAAAUUUAAAUACUUCCACAUAUAUUUCCCAAUAACAAAAGAUUUUUUAAAAGUACUUUCUUUUUGGUUAACCUGUCUUAAUUGUAUGUAUUUCUACACAUGCAUGCAGCAUGCACUAAUCAAUCCAGCCUCUGUUUAUUCACCCUUUCCUACCACUGCCUUUCCCAACCUCUAAUAAUCAGUAUAUAGAUUCACAUUGACUUGUUUUUAGUUUCUACAUACAUGGGAAGUUACAUACAUGUCUUUCUAUAUCUAGCUUAUUUUACUUAAGAUAACAUCGUAUGGUCCCAUCCAUUUUACUGUAAAUGAUGGGAUUUCAUUCUUUUUUGUGGCUGAAUGAUAUUUCAUUGUGUAUAUUAUCACUUUUUCUAAUCCAUUCAUAUAUUGAUGGGCAGCUAGGUUUGUUCCAUAGCUAUUAUAAAUAGUGCCAUAAUAAUCCAAGGUGUGCAGGUAUCUCUUUGGUAUCCUGAUUUUAUUAAAAACAGGAAUCUUCCCUCACAUAUCCACCAUUCCAUUGUCAAGACUGGAUAAUUUGCCAGGCACUGUGUGGCACACACCUAUAAUCCUAGCAGUUCAAGUGGCCAAGGUAGUUUGCAAGCUCAAGCCCAACCUCUGCAAUUGAACAAGACCCUGUCGCAAAAAGGGUUCAGAGCUCAGUAGUAAAGUGCCCGAGGAUUCAAUCUUCAGUACCCUGGGAGUGGGGCUGGAUAGUUUAACAUUGACAUGUUGCUAGUUCAAGUCAGUAAUUCAAGUAUUCACAUUUUAUCUGUCAUCCCAAUUAUAGCAGUCCAGGAUCACACCGUUGUAUUUAGGUGUCAUAUCUCUGUAUUACUCUAUUAUUCUUUAAUCUGUAACAGAUUCGUAAUCCAUUUUGUCUUUCCUUACCUUAGCUUUUUUAAUGUUAAGGCUUUUUUUUUUUCUUUAUUCUUUUUUGGCGGUGUUGGGGAUUGAACCCAAGGCCUUGUGCAUGUGAGGCAAGCAGUCUACCAACUGAGCUAUGUCCCCAGCCCCUUAAGGCAUAUUUUUGACAGGCCAGUUAUUUUGUGGAAUCUCUCAAUUUGGGUUGUCUCAGACUCCUGAGUAGCUGGGACCCCCACAUGCCACCACCUAUCUUCAGUGCAUCUUAUCAGAUGCAUAUAGUGUACUUUGGUUCCUUGGUUAAGGUGAUGCCCUCCAGGUCUUCUUACAUUUAUUAUUUUCCCUCUGAGAUUUAUAAGUUUGAGUGAAUCUUCUUUCUCUUGAAAGUUUUACCUACUGGUAAACAUCUAUUGAAAAUAUUUGCCUAAAUCAACUAUUAUUCUUGCUAUUCUUUCUAUAUUUGUUAGAUGGUGCUCUACUAUAAGGAAGGACUUCUCCUUUUCCUUUUAUUUUUUUUUUUAAAGGCAGUUAGAGCUAGAGACAUCAUCAGGUUUGAAUUUUUUAAGAACUUUUUUGGGGCCAUAAAGGUAUUGUGUCCAUGUAGAACAAUGGUGGAGCACCUAGGCACGGUGCUACAUGCCUAAAAUCCUAGCUGUUUGGGAGUCUGAGGCAAGAGGAUCAUGAGUUCAAAUCCAGCUUAGCAAUUUAGCGAGGCCCUAAGCAACUUAGCGAGACCCUGUUUCUAAAUAAAGUAUGUAAAAAUAGGGCUGGAGAUGUGGUUCAAUGGGUAAGUGCCCUGGGUUCAAUGCCUAGCACCAAAAAAAAAAAAAAAGUAACAAUACUUCGUAGGUGAUACUGACACACUGUUAUUUUGUUCUCACUCUCCCCAGAGAUUGGAAAGGUGUAUGAACAUUGUGACGUCAAUGACAACUGGUGUCUCUGAGAGAGAGGCCAAUGAUGCCCUUAAUGCUUAUGUAAGUACAGCACUCCUUGUAUCCAUUUCUGCUUCUGGAAAGUUCUUAGAUACAACCAGAAAUAUGGAAAGAUUAAGUGGGUAAGAUCUAGGGUUUUUUAACUCCUCUUUUAGGGUGGAAAGCUACCUACUAGAGUCUUGUAUGUUUUUAAAUAACAACCUUUUAAUAAAUUCAGUUCGGUAGUAGUUUUUUCUUUGCAAAUUAUCCUCACAUAUUUUAUCUUUUACGUUUCCAUUGAACUGUGUGGUCAAAAUAAAUGGUACAUGUGAAGGACUUAGAGUAAUCUCAGGUUCACAGUAAAUGUUCAGUAGGUAUUACCUGCUUAUUGUUGUAUUUUUAUUUUUUUGUUCUACAUGGACACAAUACCUUUAUUUUAUUUGUUUUAUUUAUUUAUUUAUUUGUUUGUUUGUUUAUUUUAUGUGGUUCUAGAGAUUGAACCCAAUGCCUCACACAUGCUAGGCAAGCAUUCUGUCACUGAGCCACAACCCCCACCCCUGUAUAUUAUUCUUAUUAUGUCUUUUUUUUUUUUUCAAUAUUUAUUUUUUAGUUUUCGGCGGACACAACAUCUUUGUUUGUAUGUGGUGCUGAGGAUCGAACCCGGGUUCCGCCCAUGCUAGGCAAGCGCUCUACCGCUGAGCCACAAUCUCUUAUUAUGUCUUCAUUUUAGAAAUCUCAGAGACUUAUUGAUUUGCCCAUAGUUAGGGUUGGUAGGUAGGCUUGUUGGUAGCAGCUGCCUUUUUUUUUUUUUUUUAGUUUUAGGUGGACACAGCAUUUUUAUGUGGUGCUGAGAAUUGAACUCAAGUGGUGAACACUCUGCCACUGAGCCACAACCUCAGUCUAGCAGCUGCCUUUCUACUGUGUGCUGCUAAGAUCUGACAGAGCGGGGGAGGAGGACUUUUUGGUUUUAUUUUUCCUAUCUUAAACACUCUCUUUUCUAUUUCUGGCUUACUUCAGGUGGCUCGAGAAAGCAAUAAAGGUUAUCCCUUCCCUCCACCUCUCUCCUAAAACAGAUGUCUCAUCCUUUUUUUUGAUACUGGGUGCUUUACCACUGAGUAUACUUCCCAGCCUCACCCCACCCACCCAACCACCCCUUUUUUUUGGAUACAGAGUCUCACUAAGUUGCUGAGGCUAGUCUCAAACUUUUUUUUUUUUUUUCAAAUAUUUAUUUUAGUUUUCGGCGGACACAACAUCUUUGUUUUGUAUGUGGUGCUGAGGAUUGAACCCGGGCCGCACGCAUGCCUGAGCCACAUCUCCACCCCGCUAGUCUCAAACUUGAGAUUCUCCCGCCUCCCCAGUUCCUUGGAAUACCGGUGUGGGCCACUGUCCACCUAGCUUCAUCCCUUUUAAGAGAAGAAAAUAAUCCGAUUCAAGAGUUGAUCAUUCUCCAUUGCAUGUUAGGAGGCUUUAGUUUUCUGGGUGAUACUGUGCUUGAAUUUGAGUACCACCAACUACUUUAUUCCCUUCCUCACUUUCCAGGUUUGCAAAGGUCCCCCCCAACAUGAGGAAAUCUGUCUGGGCCUCUUUACUCUUGUUCUCACAGAACCUGCCCAAGCCCAGAAGGUAAGAUACCUGCUGUGGACCCACAGACCCUCUCAGACAGGAUCUGGGAAUAUGGUGAAAUUUACCAUUUAACUGGGGACAUAUCAGACUCUUUGACUAGUGCUGAAUCAAUUUGUUCUCCAAAUGUAAUUUUAAUCCCUUUUUAUUCUCAGUGAAUUGAUUAUUCUCCAAGUUCUUUCUGUUCCCAGACCCUAAAGCUAAAAGGCAAGAAAAGGCAGUUGUGAGAGUGAAAAGCACUUACAGAUUGAAAUUUUAGGUGUAUGAGGUGAGGCUCAAAGGGCUGGGAUCUAAUCCUAGGAGAGAAGAAAACCACUGUAAUGAUAUCAGUGAAAGUUCUUAUUCAGAAGAGCAUCCCCAUUAGCAGGUGAAUAGAAAGCAGGCUUAAAUUUGCAGCAAGUAGCUGUAAUCCUAGCAACUUGGGAGGCUGAGUCAGGAGGAUUGCAAAUCCAAAGACAGACUUAGCAGUUUAGUGAGCCUUAAGCAAUUUAGAAAGACCCUGUCUCAAAAUAAAAAAAGGCUGGGCAUGGGGCUCAGUGGUUAAGCCCCGCUACAAUCAAUCCCCAGUAUCAAAAAAAAAAAUUGGUGGCAAGUAGAAUUUAGAGUAGAUAACUAAUCCUAGCUACUCAGGAGGCUGAGGUAGGAACAGCUUGGACAAUUUAGUGAAACUCUGCCUCAAAAUAAAAGAGAGUUGAGGCUAUACCUCAUGAUAUAGCUGGUGCCUAGCAUGCAGGAGACCCUGGGUUCAACUCCUGGUCCUUUUUUCAAUGAAAACAGAUUAUAGAGAGUGCUGGAGUCCAACUUACUGAGGAAUACAGUAAACCUAGUCUGUAGCUCUUUGUAAACAGAAAAGGAGUCUUUACGCAGAAUGAUAUAAUUGGGAUUCUUCCUUAAAGUGAAGGUCUAGGCGGUAUGAUCUCUGUGCAUUCUGUUCUUUUUAUAAUAACAUAGCAAAAUUAAGUCUUCUGCCUGCCUAGAUUUCCCCUUUCCAGUAAUUCCAUGUCCUUUGAGUCUCGGCAUGAUGAUGUAUGUGUCUGGCCCGGCGCGGUGGUGCAUGCCUGUAAACCCAGCAGCUUGAGAGGCUGAGGCAGGAGGAUUGCAAGUUCUCAACCAGCCUCAGUAACUUAUAGCAUCCCUAAGCAACUCAGCAAGAACCUGUCUAAAUAAAAUAUAAAAAUGGACUAAGGAUGUGUCUUAGUGGUUGUGACCCUGGGUUUAAUCCCUGGUAUCAAAAAAAUAAAAUGUGUCUGGAAUCUGGCUUAAAAUGUUUUAUAAGACUCUGGCUUUGGGCGAGUUUGACACCCCCAGAGUUGGGAGAACUCAGCCUCUCAUUGGCUCUUUCAUGAACAAGGUGGGUGUGGAAGGAAGCAGACAUGCUCUUUGUGUAGCAUUCUUCUAGACUUUGCCAGAGAAUAUCUCAUUUGAUGCUUCCAAAAAAUUGGAUGUGGUGGGGGCUUUUUUCUGUCCCCGCAACCUGCUCUCACUUUACCUGUGUGGUACUUGGUGAUUAGAGAUGUCAUCCUUGUUAGGGAUAACCAAAGGAAACUCACUCCCAGGGGUAAGGAUAGGAUGCUAUGGUCUUCUGGCAUAGCAGUUUGGAUUAACCUUGGGGGAAGGAUUUAUGGGUGUGGCAACCUGACUUGUUUGUACCUGAUGUUAGCUGUAAUAGGAAGAGUCUGAGGUUAGGCAGAUGGUGAUCCAGCAAGUAUUCAAAGUCCUUUUUUUGUUGGGGGUACCAGGGGUUGAACUCAAGGGCACUCGACCACUGAGCCCCAUCCCCAGCCUUAUUUUUAUUUUACUUAGAGACAGGGUCUCACUGAGUUGCUCAACACCUUGCUAUUGCCGAGGCUGGCUUUGAACUUAUGAUCCUCCUGCCUCAGCCUCCUUGGUUCCCAGGAGAGCCCAGGUGAUUUUGGACUAGGACUUUGUAAAGUUGAUAUUUCAUUUUUAUACUGAAUUCAUCAAGACCCUAGAAAAUGAAUGUUUCCCAUUUGGUAGUGUUAAACAGUAUAUUAUCCCCUUCAUUUUUGGCAGGGGCAGUGGGUAUGGGGGAUUGAACCCAGAGGUGCUUAACCACUGAGCAUAACUCCAGCCCUUUUUUUUGGUGGUGGUGGGGUACCGGGGACUGAACUCGGGGGCACUUGACUACUGAGCCACAUCCCCAGCCCUAUUUUGUAUUUUAUUUAGAGACAGGGUCUCACUGAGUUGCUUAGUGCCUUGCCAUUGCUGAGGCUGACUUUGAACUCAUGAUCCUCCUAUCUCAACCUCCCGAGCCAUUGGGAUUACAGGCAUGUGCCACCGCCCCUAGCAACUCCAGCCCUUUUUAAUAUUUUAUUUAGAGACAGGGUCUCGCUGAGUUGCUUAGGGUCUUGCUGAAUUGCUGAGGCUGGCUUUGAACUCGCAGUCCUCCUGCAUCAACCUCUGGAGGCACUGGGAUUACAGAUGUGUGCCACUGUGCCCAACAGAUCCCCUUCAUUUUAAAGAAAUUGUUGGCAAAGAUGAGAGUAGAAGGUUUAAUUUUCUCUUGUAUGGAUUUUUUUUUCCUUUUUCAAAAUUGUAAUUAUUAAUGAACAUUACACAAGUUAAUUAAUUUCAGUGUGUUACUUCCAUAUAUCAGGCUUUAAUAAUAUUUACCCUCUUUCUUGCCCUCCUCUCUCUUUCUUUCCCCAUUCUCCCAUUUCUACUGUUUCUCCUUACCCUUCCCUGACCCUGAUGGUUCCUCUUCUACUUUCAUCCAUUUUCCUGCAAAUGAUAGGAUUUUAUUCUUCUUUAUGGCUGAAUAAUACUCCAUUGUGUAUAUGUACCAUUUUUUUAAUUCAUUCAUCUGUUAAUGGGCACAUAGAUGAUUCUAUAUCUUAGCUAUUGUGAAUGGUGCCGUAAUAAACAUGGGUAUGCAUUUCCUCUUUUGAAUGCUGAUAUCAUUUUCUUGAGAUGUAUACCCAGGAGUGGUAUAGCUGGGUCAUAUGAUAGUUCUAAUUUUAAUUUGCCCCCUCUCCCACAAUAGUGGGAAUUGAACCCAGGAGUACUCUACCACUGAGCUAUAUCCCUAACCCUUUUUAUUUUAUUGUGAUAUAGGGUCUUGCUGAGUUGCCAGUCUGGACUCAAAACUUUUGAUCCUGCUGUCUCAGCCAUCAUACCCUGCUCUAUUCCAUCUUGUAUAAAUUUUUAUUUAUAAAAUAAAAUUUUAUUUUAUAAAUUUUAUUUAUAAAAUUUUAUUCAUAAAAUCUCAUUAAAGGACUAAGGAUGCAGCCCAAUGGUAGAUCACUUGCCUAGCAUGUGCAAAGCCCUGGGUUAGAUCCCUAGCACUUAAAACAAAAGAGCAGGGCUGGGGAUGUGGCUCAAGCGGUAGCGCGCUUGCCUGGCAUGCCUGCGGCCCGGGUGCAAUCCUCAGCACCACAUACAAACAAAGAUGUUGUGUCUGCCGAAAACUAAAAAAAUAAAUAUUAAAAAUUCUCUCUCUCUCUCUCUCUCUCUCUUAAAAAAAAAAAAAAAAAAAGAGCAGCAACAAAAUCAAAACCUUUUUUAGUCAUCUUAGUACAAUUUACUCUUGCCUGCUGGAAAAGAUUGUUUGUUUCAGGUGAGUUCUAAAUCAGACAGAGUAAAUCAAUAAACCUCAGUGAAGAGAGGAAGACAUAUCUGGUAUUUCUGGUUCUUAACCUGGCAUGGCAGUGAACAAGGCCACUGGGCUCUAUGUUGUAAGUGCUUGUUAUAUAGUUAGGCUGUCCAAACCCAGCAAGGGCUAGAGCACUCCUCUUUUGUAUUAGGACAGCCCCUGAGGGAGGCCCUGUGCUCCCUGGGGAGGUCAGACAUCUCACCUUGGGUCUCAUAACUGAUUGACAGGUACACCAGGAUUCAUGUUCACAUGCUAAAUACUUCCAAGUAAAUCCUUUACCAGUGAGACUCAAUCUGAGUCCCCAGAUCAGGCCUCUUCAGAAAAUGGUAGAGAUAGAAUCAGGAGGACACAAUUUUAGGUGAGUGAGGAGGUAUCAGGUAGUGACUCAUUCAGAGACUUUGAGCCAAGUCAGAGAGUGGUGGGAGAACUGAUGAUAUAUCUCCCUUGAGCUUUGAUCCUUCUUCCUAAAAAGGUAAUUGUCUUGUGAAAUAGUUCUGUCCUGCAAACAUUUUAGGCGGGAGUUACUGAUAAGGACUGAUCUUAAGACAUUGUUUCAGGCUUCAGCAAGAGAACUGUUUCUGAAUGUUUAUUUGAGGUUAAUUUUACCUUUGGAACAGAAAUCCCAGGAUGGAUUUGAGAUUUAGUUUUUCCUGAAUCUCCAUAGGCCAAGAGUUAAGAGGCAGGGAAGAAAAGAUGGUGGAAACUGAGUUUUGAACUCAUUAGAAAACCUGUCCUAGGCUUGGCUUCCAGCAGUUUGGGGAGGCUGAGGUGGGAGGAUCUCAAGUUCAAAGCCAGUCUCAGUAAAAAAUGAGGCCCAAAGCAACUCACUCUGUCUCUAAAUAAAAUACGAAAUGGGGCUUGGAAUGUGGCUCAGUGGUUAAGCACCCGUGCAUUUUCAACCCCCUGGACCAAAAAGAAAAGCAACCUGCCCUAGGAAAGCAUGAGCUGGGAAGCCUCUGUCAGUUGGUGGCAAGUUCAUAGAGUCAGGAUCAGCUCCUUCUGGGACUUCUUAGUGGGUAGAGAGGAUAACACAGUUAAGGAAUGAGUGGUAAUUUUUGUGUAGAAAGUAGAAUAUUCAUGGGGUGGGUUCUGUUCCAAUAGUACCUUCUUGAUUUGACCUGCCCUCUUGUCAGUUCUUGGGAAUGUUUGUAUUCUUUGACUUUGCUUAUUUCGUAUUUGUUAACUGAACUAAACAGCUGUGAGCACGCCUGGCUGGGAAGUUGGUAAGGAGGGAAGCUAACGCUGUGUAGGCUCUAUAAGUCAGUAGAUGAAGGUGAUUGGAAAGGGUGUAACAUCAGUGCCAAGGUCUCACUCCCUCAGAGAGUCAAGGCAUUUCUUGGUCUAGGUACUUCUCUCAGCAGGCAGCUCCAGAAAGAAGGUUGGGGACUGAGGCUAAAACAUCAGUGCUCUCAAGAGGGUCAGGCUAGAUGUGCUACCUCAGCACCAUCCUGUCCCCCCUCCUUUCUUUGAGACCCUCUGCUUUUCUUCUGUGUUCAUUGCUGAGUUUUGUCUUUUUCUCCCAUAUGCUUCUCUUCUAAGGCAGUCAGCAAACUGGCGCAGAGGUUGGUAAGACAGCUGGCAGCAUCAGGAAUAUGAGCCUCUUGGUACCCAGCUGCCAUGUGUUACCAGCAGUUGUGGUUGUUAAAGGUCCCAGUUGGAGCAUGAAAUUAGGCAGGCAUUAUCUGCCCUCUUCAUCUGACCCUGUAUCUCCUGAGAGAAUUGUCUUCUUUCCCUGUCCUGGGUCUUUUCUGCAUUUCUGGGGUUUUGACUUUGAUUUGAACAGACAAGCCUCCUUUAUACUUAAUGUCUUUGUCCUUGGCCCAACACAGGUUUUCCUUCUGCCUUCGCCUCCCUGAUCCUUCUCUUUGCCCAUUCUGUGACUUACCUCUGACUGAUCUGCCCAAUUUGCUGGCCAGCAUGUUGGCAGUAAUUCAUUACCCUGCCACCCACUCACCCCUCUACCACCUUCCUGCUUUUCUGAUUCCCCAACAGGGUCUUUCUUUUCUAGUUAUUUCUCACUUUAGUAUAAGAGGUGGUUAAGCAUGGAAUGUGGAAUUAGACUGCCAGGGUUUGAAUCUUGAUUAUUCUUCUAAUCUCUUAUGUAACCUGGAGCUAUGUGCUUUAACUUUUCUGCCUAUCUAAUCAUACGUAAUACCUAAUUCAAAGGGUUGUUAUGUGUGUCAAGUGUAAUAAUGUAUAUAAUACAAGACAAAUGAAUAUUAGCUAUUGUUAUUAUUCUUGAUGCCAUCCUUGAUACCUGCCUGCUUUAUACCUUUUGGAUGAAACCUUAACAGGACAGAACUGAGCAGGCUAAGGGGGCUUCUAACGAGAUCCCUGAAGGUAUUCCCCCAGGAGUUUGGGCUCACUGGAAAGACUAGUGAGAAAAGCUCAAAGAGGAAAGGAAACAACGACUCUCACAGAAAAAACUGUCCUACCAUCCCUGCCCCUGGGGUGGGGAUAUUGAAGGACCAUUCUUCUUUCAAUACUUGACAAAAGCAAAGGGUAUCCAGAAAGAAGAAGAUAGACAUUUAGUAAGAAAAUUCAGUUUGGGUUUUGUUGUUUCUCUGGAGCCCUGAUCCCUUAGUGCUUUCUUUGUGGCAUCUGUCUGGGUCAUAUCGGGUCUAAAAACCUCUGGUUGCUUUAUGGCUCAUUCAACUAAACCCAUUCUGCAAUGACCUUUUACUGGCAGAUGAAAAGCAGAUGGCCUCCACCUGGUUUAGCUCAGCUUGUGGCAUCAAACAGUAGGAUACUUCCUGAGAAGGGAGGAAGGGGGAAAGGGAUAGGACUAGGAGCUUUGUCCAGCAGGCUUUCCAGUCUUAUUAGAAAAUUGCUCGGUGCUUUCCCCCCACCCUGUGUGACAGACCAAGGGGUAGAUAUGGGAUAAAGGAGCCCUGUGGAAGGAAAAUAUCCAGAAUGGAAAGUGUUUCAUCGCUACUUGGUGUCUCACUGGUGUUAAGUUUAAGAGACUAGAGGGCAAGAGGUGCACUGUGAGUGGGCUUAGGAACCUUUUCCUCAACUUACUAAUUGCUCACAAACUUUGCUUUUUGCAGUGUUACCGAGACUUGGCUCUGGUGAGUCGUGAUGGCAUGAAUAUUGUCCUGAAUAAAAUCAACCAAAUACUUAUGGAGAAGUACCUAAAGUUGCAGGAUACGUGCCGAACUCAGGUAAGAAUAGGAAGAAAAGAAGGAUCCAGGGAUUGGGAGCGUUAUCUCAGUGGUAAAGUGUGUGCCUAGUAUGCACAAGGCCCUGGGUUCUGUCCCUAACAUCAAAAAAAAAAAAAAAAAAAGAAAAGAAAAGAAUAAGAAGGGAUCCAGCUCAAAGACAUUAACCGUGGGGGGGGGGAUCCCUUACAGAGAAGGGAAGGAGGAAUUGAGGCAACAUACCCCUAUCAUUGUGUACCUAAUUUGUAAUAUGGUUAAGUUAGCUCCUUUCUCAAACUCACAGUUCAUGCUCUUCAUAUUUUCUCCUCUCUCUAGUUGGUGUGGUUGGUACGGGAACUAGUGAAGAGUGGGGUUCUGGGAGCUGAUGGUGUUUGCAUGACAUUUAUGAAGCAGAUUGCAGGUGAGUUGAAAGUCAAGAGCAUAAAGAAGAAAGAGAGCGCUGGGGUUGUGGCUCAGUGGUGGAGCGCUUGCCUCCCACUGUGAGGCAUGGGGAUCAAUCCUCUACACCACAUAAAAAUAAAUACAUAAAUAAAGGUAUUGCAUCCAUCUACAACUAAAAAUAUUUAAGAAGAAAGGAGAGGAGCCCAGAGACUAAGGCUAGGCAAUAAAGACUGAUUAAGCACCCAUGGAACCUGAUUCCUGGGUUACUUAGGCUCUUUCUUUCUGAUACAGACAUCUGGCUUCAUGUGUUUCAGGAAGAAAUUGGUUGAAAAAUCACAGGAGCCCUUUUGAAGCAAUAAGUUUUGCUUUGUUUUCUUUCCUGUCAAAUCUAAAGCCUAGCAGAAUAUUUGACCUAUUUUAGCCAGGCUUCAUUCUGGGUUUUUGUGGCAUAUUGAAUCAGGAAGGAAUGAGGAGAAAAUUAAGGGGAAAUAAUUCAUCCCUGUAUUAUUAUGCUUUCAGAAAUCUAGACAUCUUCCCUGGCUCCACCCCUGUGUUCUGAACAAUUGCUCCCUAAUAAUUAUGACAACUGAUUGGGACCAGUCUGAGGGACAAAGGAUGUUACAGAACAGACCCUGACAUUUAGGUUUUAUUAUCAUCUUGGCAUUGGUGACAUCUGUCUGAGCCAAUGAAUAUGGAAGAGGCCUGCCUGAGCUUCCUCUUUUACUCUCAAGAUUGUGUGUGUGUUUAAAAAACUACCCUCCUGUUUUACCUCAUUAUUUGCCCAUUGCUGCUUGGCUUUCUCUUUAGGAUUUUAUAUAACACUGAUGCCCCUGUUUGGUGUGUUUGAACCAUUGUCUGUGUGAUAUGUGACUAUGUGAACAUCGAAAUGUUUAAUUGGGACUUAGUGCAAGGUAUAGCAGUGUUGUGCUGGUUAUUUUUAUCCUUUCUCCAGCACUUUCUUCCCUAUUUGGGCCUCCUAGCUCCCACUUCUUAUCCCAAGACUUUGGUCUGGCAUUGCUGCAUAUUAAUUCUGCCCCAGGAAGUUCCAUAGCAAGAACUGAAGACUGAUACCUGGAAACAAGAAACCCUUGGCUUGUUGUGAGCUUGAGCACAGGGAACAUCCAGAUGCUGGAUUGCAGCUGUUGCCAGCCGCCCGCACCUCUCAGGCCCUUUUUGAGACAUCAUCCUUUCUUUCCAACCAUGGGAUUCCUUUUCAAGGGCCAGCGUGUUCCCACUCAAGUUUCCAGUCUGGAAAAGCAACAGCUCUGGUUUCUAGAAAAAUUCAGAACAGGGGCUGGGGUUGUGGCUCAGUGGUAGAGCGCUUGCCUAGCAUGCAUGAGGCACUGGGUUCGAUCCUCAGCACCACAUAAAAAUAAAAUAAUGUGUCCACCUAAAACUAAAAAAAUACAUAAAUAAAUAAAUAUUAAAAAGAAAAGAAAAGAAAAAUUCAGAACAUUCCCUUCUCUUCUUCUCUCUGGAGGCAAAGGGAAUUUUUUAAAAAUCGGAUGGAAAAGAAGACAAUUUAUCCUAACACUCAGGAUAACAGUGAUGGGAUAACAGGGUAGACCAGCAAGAUGAGUGAAGAGAUGGAUUAGCUAAGUUGCUAAUUAGAGCUACUGUAUUCUGAUUCUUCCCCCCCUACUUUUUUUUUUCCAUCAGGUGGAGAUGUUACAGCCAAAAAUAUCUGGUUGGCAGAAAGUGUUCUGGAUAUCCUCACGGAGCAGAGGUAGAGUCCAUCAUGAAGGGUGGGGCAAGAACCAGAUAUGACCAGAAAGCAUAUGAGUGUGGGAAGUGGAGAAGAGAGGACUGUGUGACCCUAAAACACCUUAGGUUAGAGAGGAGGAAGCCAGCAUCAAGUGGGGGAGGCGACCAUAUUGAUGGCAAGUAAAGAAAUUAAUGCUGUAGUGUGGCCCAAGGGAUAAAGGAGUGGGAAAGAAGGGCCUGUUUUCUGAGCCCAGGAAAAACCAGUUUCAUCUGAUAAGGGUUUAUUUUUGAUCCAGACCUCCUUGGAAUGUUUAUCUUUGGAGGGGAGGUAGGGGAAGAAUGAGCUCAACAGAGCGGGACCAGCCAGCCACCCAGGCUUGGCAGGUACCUCUUCUCCCUUCCAAACUUCUCAAACACACUGUUUUUGAAGUGGUUCGGAUGGCAGCAGGGGUAGGGAGGUAAUAGAGAUCCUGAUCCCCCAUAGAGGGCUUGGAGCCUCCAGUGGUAGAGAGAGGCAUAUAGGGCUUUCUGGCUGAUUCUUUCCCUUCCUCAUCAAACUGAAGGACCAGAAAUUUUAUGAGGACUAUUCCAUUUCUGAAUUUGUUUGGGAAUGAGGUCUUCCUCCUUGGUCCUGUGGCCCCAGUCUUCAUUUUGCUUAUUUUUUGAGUCUCUCUGGAUAAGAACACCAUAGUAGUAAGAUUCUUGAGAGUGCUGAUAGUGUUCAUAUUGUCCACAUUUUCAAAGAAUGGACCUCCUCCCAUGAUUCACACUUGUGCUGCCUACUGCCAAGCCUGAGAGCCACGCAGGCCAGCUGUGCAGUGCCACCUAGUGCCCUGGCACAGAUGUGCAGCUGCACUGAAUCUGGCAACAUGACACCAGCAUGGGCAAGAUCUUAACAGUUUCUUGCCAGGUUUCUGCUUCUCUUAGGUAUCAUAUUUCUUUUUUUGGGGGGGGCGGGGGGGCGGGGAUUACCAGGAAUUGAACUCUGGGGCAUGCUACCACUGAGCCACAUCUCCAGCCCUAUUUUGUAUUUUAUUUAGAGACAGGGUCUCACUGAGUUGCUUAGCGCCUUGUCAUUGCUGAGGCUGACUUUGAACUCACGAUCCUCCUAUCUCAGCUUCUGGUGCUGCUGGGAUUACAGGUGUGUGCCACUGCACCCAGCAAAUAUCAGUAUUUAUUUAAUGUCCUGGAUUAGAAGGCCUCACUUGCAUCCCUCUUUCUCUUUCUUAUGCCAUUCUACAAUUCAGAUAUGUUUGUCAUUCCUGUUAAUAAUGUUCUUGAAAAGCUAUUUUUCUCAUUUUAUUCCUGGUUCCAGAUGUAUCCUGUCCCCUUGCCUUAAAGCUGAAUUUCCCAUAUAGGUGUCAAAUAACAGCUUGGUAACUUUCCCUACUCUCCAGAAACUCACAUUUUUUGGUAAAAGAUAGUACUUCAAAGUUUAAACUGUCUUCCUCCAUACCUUCCUUCUCACACCCUUCCAAAUGUUUUCAGGCUGUAGGGGUAAAAGGUAACUGGGAGCAGGGCUCAUGUCCUUGGCUAGUGUUUUCUUUCUUUCUUUCUUUUUUUUUUUUUCUUGAAAGGAAAAUGCCAGAUUCUUUUAAUUAGGUGACUUGAGCACAUUUCCAGAAUCAGGAUGUUGCCUGGUUGGAUUAAUUAAACUCACUGUCGUCUUCCUCCAGUUGGCCUUCCAGCAGGGAUGCCAAAGCCAUUACAAACUCUUUGCUUGGCGGAUACUACUCCACAGAAGUAGCACAAGAAACAGCAUUGGGGAUUUUAGGAAUCUUCCCACUGUGUUUUUCUCUCUACCCCUUUUAAAGUAGCAGGGAACAAGUAAUUCUUUCAUUACUCUGUUUUCCCCAGGGAAAUUCUAAAACUCCUGGGAAAAUGAGCUUUGCCAUCCAGAAUCAGGUUCUUUUUUCAGAUUAUGAUUUAGAGCAGGUGACUCAUUGUCUGAGGGUGGGGUCAGCAGCUAGCGAGUCAGGGAAAGGUUUGUGGUGUGGUAAACUGUUAGUGACAAGUGUGACAGAAGGGCUAGCAUGGUGUGUUCUGAGAACUCCUGGUCCUGAAAAGGGUCUUGGAAAUCCCCAGAGAUCCUGGCACCACACUUAAGAACUAUUGACUUAACAGAACUUUCCCCACAGAUGAACUGGGAGAAACGGUUCAUCUCUGACCCUAGUACCUCACACAUUGCUUGGCACAUGAUAGGCACUCAGUAAAUGUUUGAAUAGGUGAGUCAAUGUACAAAGUUAUUUUAUUGGAAGCUACAUAAGUGGUUACAUGGUAAGAAAAGAUUUUUUUCCUUUUGGCAUCUAUUUUUAUUGGUUGCCAAAUAGAGAAAAUUAGGAAGUUGUCCUUCUCUUAGCUAGUUGAUAGUUUUGAGAUAACAGCCUAAGCAAGCAAGCAGAAAAACAAAGAACCUCCUCCCAGUGUGUGAGCAUCAAACAUUAUUGAGUUGCUGGAGCCGAGUUUAAGCGGGUGAUUGGGAGUGUGCGUAGGUCUACGACAGAGUACAGGUGCAGUGUCUUUCCCUCCUGCAGGGAGUGGGUACUGAAGAGCAGCAUCCUCAUUGCCAUGGCUGUUUACACAUAUCUCCGUCUCAUCGUUGACCACCAUGGGACUGCCCAGCUCCAGGCCCUGCGGCAGAAGGAGGUGGACUUCUGCAUCUCGCUGCUUCGGGAACGGGUGAGGAAGUAGGAUAAGAUCAGUAUGGGGAAAUGAGACCCAGGAUGGGAUGCCCCUAUAGGUUUCAUGCACCAGGACUGGAGAUGCCUUUUCAGAUGUGGAAGUGGUUUAAAAUCUAGCAUUUUUCAUUGUCCUUAGAUAAGAGUAGAAUCUAAGGAGGGAGAAUCAGUGUGGAAUAACCCUUGUUCCUAGAAAUGCUAGCAUCCUGGGGAUUUUCCUGGUCACUGUCAAGGACACUGUUGUACAACAGACCCAAGCUGUUCUUUUGUAUACCCACUUAAGCUGUUCUGUCAUCCUACCACCUACCCAAGUAAUUGCCAUGGUCAUGUGGGAUUAUGAAUUGUCUGCUAUCAGAUCUCCCAAGAGAGAGAUCCUAGAAUUAAGUUAAUAUAAUGGCUGUUGACUACAUUUGGUAAUUUAUUAAUUAAUGUCAGAUUUUAAAGUUCCUUAAUUACCUUAGCCACAUGUUGCUAAUGGUAUUGUUUGGAAUGCAUAAAUGUAGAUCAUUUCCAUUACCACAAGAGGUUCUGUUGUACAAGAAUUUUGGGGUAGGGUGUCUGGGGCUCCACUUGCCUGUCCAAUAGUUUUGGAAUCUUAGUCUCUUUGAACUAAAUCAGAACAGUUCUGGGUGGAGAAGGGAAUAGAUUAGUGUGAAAGUCAGCAGGGCUUCAGCACUUCCCAGUAACUUUUCUUCCUUGGUAUCAGUCCCUAGCUUCCAGCUCUCUUCCAUAAACAGCUAGGAACCAAUCCCUUGGUUCUAGAAGAAAUCACAUAGUCCCUUCAACCUUCUUUCCUUCCCUCCCUGGAACAUGCUGUUCUUUUGUCCUCUCUCCAGAAGGUAAACAGUCUGUGUUUUUAUUCUCUUUCCUGUCCCCACUUCCUUCACCUCCUCACAUCAAGUUCAUGGAAUGUUUGAUGAUUGGCCGGGACCUUGUAAGACUACUUCAGAAUGUUGCUAGGAUACCAGAAUUUGAACUGCUUUGGAAAGAUAUUAUCCAUAACCCUCAGGCCUUGAGUCCUCAAUUUACAGGUAAGUAAGCCCUUGGGCAUCUUGUCCUUGAGAGAUGGCAAGUUAGCCUAUAUGUCCUAUAUUCAGAGGGCAGAGGUUGGUGGGUAGGACUGCCUUUGGCAAUCAGAGAAGGUUUGGGGCAGGGCAAGCUUUGCCAAGUACAGCUAGAUAUUGGAACCGCAGAAGUACUGAACAAUUCAUGUGAUUCCUAGACAGUCCCUGCUUGGCAGACUCCAGCUAUCAUUACUCCUAAGAAAAUAGUGAGAACUAUGAUCUUCUUCCUCUCCUGGAAGCUCCUUGGCUCAGGAGGUGAGCUGAUGACCAGUCUUUGACUUCAAUGAGUCUGGCAGGGAGUCAGAGGUCAACUCCAUGAGACUGAGUCAGCAGAGGAGCUAGAAUUAGUCCUGUAAGAGAUGGCCCCUCCCUGGAAGCAGUCUGGCCUCUUAAUUCCAAGGAUCCAACUUGGCCUAAAUCAUCUUUAGGGGAGAGAGUCUCUGUGUUCUUUCCCCUGACAUGGUCCUUUCAAUGUCCCUUUCCCUUUCCCAGAGCAAUAACUCUACAGCUUUGCUCCCUGGCCCACCUUUAAAGCACAUUCAUACAUAUGCACGCACACCUACAGAGCACUCUUCUAGAAUCUGAGAAGUGGGGAAAGUGCUGGUGCUACCUGAUAAUGCACUAUUCUUACAUCAAACAUGUCAGGUUACUUUGAGUGUCACCUCUAUGUUAGGCAUAUGUAUGUAAUUUAAACCUUAGAACAGCUCUAGAUUAUGGGUAUUUUAUUUCCCUUACAGUUGAAGAAACUGAGGUUCAAAAAAAGAAACGGAGCUGGACAUGGUAGCACACACCUAUAAUCCCAAUGACUCAGAAGGCUGAAGUAGGAGUAUUGAAAGUUCGAGGCCAGCCUGGGCAACCUAGCAAGACCCUGUCUCAAAAAUAAAAGGGCUUGGGCUGGGGAUAUAGCUCAGUUGGUACAGUGCUUAUCUCAGUUGGCCAGUGCAUGCACAAGGCCCUGGGUUCAAUCUCUAACACCACAAAAAAUAAAAAUGAUAGAUAGAUAGAUAGAUAGAUAGAUAGAUAGGCUGGGGAUGUGACUCAGUGGUAGAGCACCCUUAGGUUCUCUACCCCAGUAUCACCCCCUAAAAAAAAGAGAGAAAAUAAAAGAAACUGAGGUUCAAACAGGUUAAUUUGCUCAAGUGUAAGUGACAGGCAGGAUUUGGAUCAGGUUAUCCUGACUCCAGAGCUUAUGGUUAUGCUGCCACAUCACAUCCAUGCAAGGAUCAGGAGCAGGAAGACAAGCUAGAGUUUCCAUAUUUUUCUCUUAAUUUUCCCACCUGUUGCCAACUGCAAUAAUGGGGGUAGGGGACUCUGUAAAACCAGCAGAGGAAGGGAAUUAAUGUAACAGGAAUGUAGUUGGUUGGACAAAACGCACAGAUGCUAGUUAGAAUCCCCAUCUGUGUUGAUGCUUGGAAUUGCCUCAUGAACAAGACCACUGGCCAUCAGUACCUGGCCCAGUUUUCCCAUCUGUCUGCCAUUCCGUAGUUCUCAGGUUUCUCUCUUUUUUCUUCCCUAAAACACUUGGCUCAGGUAUCCUACAGCUUCUUCAGUCAAGAACAUCCCGAAAAUUCCUAGCAUGUCGUCUAACCCCAGAUAUGGAAACUAAGCUCCUCUUCAUGACAUCCCGGGUGAGCUCACCUAUUGCAACAGGAAGAGGAAUUGCAGGUGCUAGUUGGGCUUCUUGCUUCUGUCUGCAGAUCUGUUACUCUGAGUACUGAUCCACAGAGUGGUAGCUAAGUGGUAGCCCUUAUCCACAUGGCUACUGGCUUCUUUCCUUUGUUAAUUCUGUGCCUAUACACUGUGCUCAGUGCUAAGAAUUGGAGAUAAGGGUUGAAUAAGAGAGAUGCAGUUCUAGCUCUGUGAAGCUUUCAGUCUAUCUAAAGUAGCCAUUAUGCAGAGAAUUAUAUGCAAGUGUGAACUGUGCUGUUAAAGUUUAGAGUGAGAAUGUUUAUUCUGUCCAUGGUUCUUCCAGGGAAACUGUGAGCUUUCAAGGUAGCUAUGACCUUUUAGUGUCCAAAUAUGGCUGAACGGUGGUAAAACUGCUUGAGGAACAUGUUAUAGAUGGAAUCUGAUCAAAUAAAGAACCACUGCCCUAGCCAACUUUUGGAUCCCCAAGUUAUCUAGGAGAACUGUCCAGACCUUUGGUGUCCUUUGUAAUAGCCACUAGCCAUAUUUUGCAAUUUAAAUAUAAGUUAGUUAAAAUUUAGUAUCUUGUUUGCAGAAGCUACAUCUGAACUGCUCAUGGCUACCAUCAUUGCAGGAAGUUUUGUUGUGAAGUGUGGUCUGAGUGUAACUUUUUGUUUACCUUUCUGCCAUUUGGAUUUCUUCUGACAGGGGAAUAGAGGAGGAAAACAGAUCCUCCUUUUUUGCUAUUUAUAACCAUUUGGGUCUAUUUAGAAGUUUUAGAGGGCUGGGGAUGUGGCUCAAGCGGUAGCGCGCUCGCCUGGCAUGCGUGCGGCCUGGGUUUGAUCCUCAGCACCACAUACAAACAAAGAUGUUGUGUCCACCGAUAACUAAAAAAAAAAAAAAAACACUAUCGUGAUUCCCUGAAGAAAAAAAAAAGAAGUUUUAGAGUCUGUGCCUUGGAUAAUGGUCCUGUUAGGUUGCUGGAUGGCAGGAAGCACUCAGUGCUGAAUGGUGAACAGGUUUAGUUCUUGCUUUCAAGGAACAUUCCUUGUUGUCCAGUAGGCUCCAGAAAAUAAGAAAAGAUUAUACUUAGGACCAAAUCUUCAGUGACCAGUGUUGGAGCAAGGAGCCAAAAAUAGACCACAGUUGUUGGGGGUAAAUGUGGCAUCAGGUCAGGGCUGAGAAUGAAUGCACCCAUGACAUGCAAGGCAGCCUAGAAAGACUUAGAGUACUUUUUAAAAUCAUGAAAUAACCCCAAAAGGAAAAGACACUCAAGAGACAGUGUGAGCUAAUGAGUAAGUUGUAGGAAGAAAUGAAGGUCUAGGUCAAACAUGGAGUUUAACAGUUCUCAUAGAUUCCACCCUGCUUUCCAAGUUUCUUUUUCUAACUUUUCCCUCCUCAGGUGCGGUUUGGUCAACAAAAGAGAUACCAAGACUGGUUCCAGCGCCAGUAUUUGUCAACCCCAGACAGUCAGUCUCUACGCUGUGACCUCAUUCGCUACAUCUGUGGGGUAGUCCACCCUUCUAAUGAAGUGCUGAGUUCUGACAUCUUGCCUCGAUGGGCCAUCAUUGGUUGGCUCCUGACAACAUGCACGGUAGGGGGCUGGGCCACAGGGUAGAGGAUGUUGGACAGUGAAGGAUGCCUUCUGUAUUUCCAUGCUUCUUGCUGGACUCUCCAGGGCCAUUUGAUCCAUAAGGACCCUUCUUUCACUGUUGUCUUUCAAAUGUUUCAGGCUCUUAUUCCAUUACCUUUGUGUCUCAAGAAAUUUUGUUAGACUCAUUAUUUCUCAUCUGGGUUGGGGAUUCAAUAGGUCCAUCUAUCUCUUUAUUACUAACCCCCAAAAUCCUGGAUUUCUGAAGCAUUCUUGCCUUUUUCCUUUGAGCUUCUGGAUACCACAAAGUUAGGGCUUGCAUUCUUUAGACCCUCACCUCCGUGCUUCUGGCAUCAGCUUCGGAUAAAGGAGCCAUUUCCUUCCCAGCAUUUUCCUUCCUGUGUUGAGAUGGAAAACCAUCCAUUCUCUGACAUCUUCUGACAGGGUUUCCCCUUUCUUCUCUGAUUAGAUUCUUAGAAUGUACUGAUUCAAAUAUGACAAAAGACUAUUCCUAGAGGGCCUUUUCUUCAGAAAUGUGGGUGGGGGAGCCCACCAAGGGCAGCCCAGGGGCCAUCUGAGUAUUGCCUUGACUCAGAAGUAAUGAGUGAACUCCUAAGUCCAAGUGUUGUCCCUUAGGGGAGGAGAGGUAUAUCCUCCUGGGUGUGUGAGGAUCCCAGCCAGUCCCAUCCCCUUGGUUGGUAAGACCACAGGGUUCUCGUGCUCACAUGUAACACAGACGCAGAUCGUGGGGCUCCACCACGUUUCACUGGGACCUGAAUUUCACAGGUGCAGCAACAAAGUAAGCCCUGGAAUCUGCCCUGGGCUUCAGAAGGGAAGGGAGACGGUUGAUGAAAUUAGCCCUUUAUUUUUGUCCUUCUCUUUUCCAGUCCAAUGUUGCUGCCUCUAAUGCCAAGCUGGCUUUGUUUUACGACUGGCUGUUCUUUAGUCCAGACAAGGAUAGCAUUAUGAACAUAGGUAUGUGCCCCAGACCAGGCAGCACCACCUUCCCCUUCCUCAGGCCCCACUGCCUCGUCCUGGUGACAGCAGUCAUAAAUCUGAGGGCAGCACGGAGUGGGAGCAGUUUAUCUGGGAGCAGUUCCGUUGUUCCUCAUCAGUUCUUCCUUGACAGAAAAUUGCUUUGGUGAGGCUAAGCAAUCACCACCCUCUCCCUUCUCCCCAUAGCCUCAUCCCUGGGCUCUGGGUGGGAAGGGCCUGGGCAGAGGAAAAGAUGUGCCAUGUCCUGCUUUUCCUUUCCUCCUACCUCCAUUCUUCAAGCUGUAUGCUGAAGACAAGAAGGAAGAAUGAGGGCUAAGAACAGUUGGGGGACUGGUUGCUCUCAGAGCUGCCCGAUAGGAAUGAGCACUCCCCAGAGCCUUUUAGUAUAUGUUGACAUCCCAUUUUGUGGAUGUGGAAACAGAAAGUCUGAUGUGGGGGGGGGGGAAUCCUUUAAUUCCACAUUCUCUAGAGCCAGCCAUCCUGGUAAUGCAUCAUUCUAUGAAGCCCCAUCCAGCCAUCACUGCCACACUCCUGGACUUCAUGUGCCGUGUAAGUGCCAGAGCCCCCUCUCCUCCCAGUUCCUGGAUGCAGAGUUACAUCUGUAUCCAUAGUCUUUCACUGAUGGAGUCUUUCCUGGCCCCCUUGUCCGGAGCAGAAGUGGUCAACUCAGUGAAUGCUUCCCUUCAUAUUACCACUGCUCCAGUUGGAUCAUCCCUUGUUUCCAUGAUUUUCUCAAUUGUAGGAUGACAACUCAAGGUAGAAUCUAGUCUCCUUGAGAAGCAGCUGGGUCCAGUAAGUGUCCCAACUGCCUAGCCUGAAAUAGUCAGAUAUGCUCCAUUCCUCUGCAGACAUACUACCCCAGUGUUCCCUGACCACAACCAAAGCAGUUUCUUAGAUCUAGUUCAGCAGAACACUCUAUUCAGAGUCCUGUGCCAUUCUUCCCUCCUCUUCUUUCCUUCCAGAUCAUUCCCAACUUCUAUCCACCUUUGGAAGGCCAUGUGCGGCAGGGUGUCUUUUCUUCCCUCAACCACAUUGUGGAGAAACGGGUCUUGGCGUAAGGAGUUUAUAUGUAGGGAGGUGGAGGUAUGGGGUUCUCCCAUUUUUCCUUAGGUCCAGCCCCCUCUGGGUCAGGCACAUCCAGAUAUUGUCAUAACACUGCUGACCCUUUCCCCUGGCAGGUAUAACAAGUACUGGAUUCCUCUCCCCCACCCCCAAACUACGGGGCAUAUGUCCUGUUGAGUCUCAAAGGAAUUUCUCUCCUGCCAUUAUAUUACAAAGGGCUUCAAAUGCCUUCCUUUCCCGUUACCCCUUGGAAGGAUCUGAGGAUGUCCCAGUCUUACUGAUUGGACCUAGGUCUCACUCUUUAUCUCCAUGUUGAGUUAGAAAUGAGGAACUCUGAUGUUGACCUUCAUUUAUGUUUCCCAUUAGACACUUGGCUCCCCUGUUUGACAACCCUAAAUUGGAUAAAGAGCUGCGGGCCAUGCUGAGAGAGAAAUUUCCUGAAUUCUGCAGCUCACCCUCCCCACCUGUGGAAGGUAUGGUGGUAGUCCUGCUGUCAUCUGUGUUAGAAGAAGGAUGAAGCCAUCCAAGGUGUAGACUAGAGCCCUGUUUGUGAUGUUGUCCCUGGGGAGUUCUCCUCUUAACACUGUCUCAGUGUUCUCUUUUUAUUAUUGCUGUGUUGUCUCCCUUGGUUCUCUCUCGCUCCAUCAAAUCUUACUUGAUUUUUCCCUCAUCUGUCUUGAUCUCUUAACCCUUUUUUUCUCUCCAGUAAGUAGAGGCCCUCAUGGAAUGUUUGUUGUCUCACUGUACCCAUCCCUUCUCUCUUCCCAUCCCUCCACCCUUGCCCCUGAUGAGAGGUUGCACAGUAGGUCCCAGUCUGCCAUUUCCCUGCCAGCCAUCCCCCACAUACUUUUUGUCUUGGGAUCAGGGCUUAAGCCAAGCACUACUUCCGAAUUUGGUUUUAAAUUAAAGAGCACAAGAGAUUGUCUCCACUCAUCCUGAGCUAAGGAUAGAAAAUUCAUGUCCUGUGUUGUUCCUUUUCCUGGCAGCAUCUCCCUACAGGUCAUAGAAGGUUGUAAGGACAAGAGAUUUGUCCUUGCAGGUUCAGUGUUCCAUUUAGCACAUAAACUCUGUAUUCUCCCACUUACACUCCAGCCUCCCCUUCCCAGAAGCUUGGGACAUACUGGAGGCCAUCAGAUACCUUUCUCUCUUUACUCCCAAGUCAAAAUUGAAGAGCCAGUUUCCAUGGAGAUGGAUAACCAUCUGUCAGAUAAGGAUGAGAGUUGCUACGACAAUGCUGAGGCAGCCUUCAGUGAUGACGAGGAGGAUCUCAACAGCAAAGGUGAGGAUGGCAUAGGAGGUGGCUCAGGAUUGUGACAGCCCUGGGAGGGUCAUUUCCCAGGAGCAGCCUGUCUGCAGUCUUUCUGUCCUAUCAUCUCUGCCCGCCUGAGUCCGUCUUGGUAACAGCAUCACUGAAUGAGACUCAGGGUGUAAGCCCUGCAUUUAACUUACGAGGUAAAAUAAGUGGUUCCUGCCCACUUGUGGGUAAGAGCUAGGACAUGUAUACAAUCAUGUAUUUGCACAGCAUUGAGUAAACAGUCCCCAAGGACUGUGGGGAAGGAACAGAUGAUUUAAGGGGACUCUGUGUUGCUGGCAUUUGAGCAAAUUGACUUCUAAAUCUCUCCCUUCAGGAAAGAAGAGAGAGUUUCGUUUCCACCCUAUCAAGGAGACAGUUGUGGAGGAGCCAGUUGAUAUCACCCCUUACCUCGACCAGUUGGAUGAGUCCCUAAGGGACAAAGUACUCCAGCUACAGAAGGGGAGGUAGGUACAGACCCUUCUCCUCACCUUGUGGGGGGAUGUCCAGUCCAUGCUUUCUCCCUUGUGCCUAGUAUGUGUGGCAGAAUGAUGUGGCUUGGAGAGCAAUGUGAUGGGGUAUAUGGGAAGGUAGCUGAAGCUUCAUGAGUGAUGUCUUCCGCAGCUUAUGUUGGGGAGUACGAGUACAGGCAGGGAGUGGAUUGGCCUGUACUCUAACACCUUGGUUCCUACUCCCUAGGUUCUGAGGAUAAUAGCCUCAGAGAACACAUGUAAGAUGGAUGGGGAUUUCCCUAUUCUUUGGGCCUCUGCCCAGAAAACAGCAAAUUCUGCCCUAAUUCUGCCUCCCUCACCCAAGCUGGGAUUUUACAUAGAGCUCCUUUGUUUUGUCUCUGUUCGUUUGAGUGCUCGUGUAUAGUGUUCUCUGUGUCCUGCCUUCUGCUAUCAUUUAUGUCCUUGGGAUUUCCUCUCACUUCUGUACUGCAGUGAUACAGAGGCCCAGUGUGAGGUCAUGCAGGAAAUUGUGGACCAGGUCCUGGAGGUGAGGAGGAACCUACGCCCUUAGGGAGGAAGGAGCCCAGCUGUCCAAGUUAGAGCUCCCCAUGCAGGUGUCUCCCUGGGAAUGUGACUCCCUCCUUCCUCUCCCCUAGAAGAGUCCCUCUCAGGGGGGCUGGAGAAUUGCUGAUCCUGUAGGUGGAAGCAGAUAAGCUCAGAGGCUCUGGGGCAGUGGGGACAGUGGGCACAGUGAGGUUUGGACCUGGGUCAUGAUAUCCUUUCCUUCCCUUAUCUACCACCCAGGAAGACUUCGACUCAGAACAGCUGUCUGUCCUUGCUUCCUGUCUACAAGAGCUCUUCAAGGCCCACUUCCGAGGAGAGGUGCUGCCUGAGGAGGUCACAGAGGAGUAAGGCUCAUCUUCCCUGAUGCCCUUGGCCUCAGGAGCCAGAAAUAUGUUCUUACAACCCAAGCCCAAGAGGCACCAUGCUGUAGACUUGAGAAGAAGAAUCUGUUCACUUGGUUUUCUGAUUCCUGAUGUGUACUGAUUGAAAAUGAGGGUUUAUUUUGCCUGCUGGACCCUGUGUGUACUGGAGUUGUAGACUAGUAUCCCUGCCCUGUCCUUCCAGCCCUGCUGCUGGGCCAGUAGCCCCAACCUUUAUUUCUUCAAGUAGAAUUGGAUCCUAGAUUCCCCCUGAAGAGAGGAAUCUCCCUUUCUGUGAUAAUGAUAGCCUCAGACUGUGAUUUCCAGGUUGGGAACUUGUUUUCUCUGCUAUCAAGCUUCUGGAGCCACAGGAAGUUUGCCUUUUGGGUAGGAUAGGAGCAGGCUGGUGUCUGGCCUCUGUGUGGUCCCCCUGUGAUCUGCCUGCAGCUGCCCCUCCUCUUCUGUGGAUUCUCAUGUGUGACCCUUCUUUCGUAGGUCCCUGGAGGAAUCUGUAGGGAAGCCUCUCUACCUGAUAUUUAGGUAAGCACCCAGUGGUAAGAGGAACUGCUCUCCCCUCCAUUCUCCCUACAGCACACAUUUGUCCCUGUCCUGGGUCACAUGGCUCUGUUUCCAGAGAGGAGGAGGUUUGUAGUGGGCAGAGUCUCCCUGGGUAAUGCCUCUCCUUUUCCCCCACCUCCAGGAACCUGUGCCAGAUGCAGGAAGACAACAGCAGCUUCUCUCUGCUCCUGGACCUUCUGUCUGAGCUCUAUCAGAAGCAGCCCAAGAUUGGCUACCACCUGCUCUACUACCUGAGGGCCAGGUGGGUGUCGGGUAGCUACUGGAGAGCCAGCCUUUCUCCCCUGCACAUCGAUUCCCUUGGCUCUCUUCACCAGCACCUUCCAUGCGUUUUGGUGCUAGGGAUAAAUCCAGGGCCUUGUGCAUGCUAAGUGUUUGUUUUUUUAAAUAACAGCUUUAUUGAGGUAUAAAUUUUUGUACCAUAAAUUUACUUUUUUUUUUUAAUUUUUUUUUUUUUAGUUGUAGUUGACACAAUACCUUUAUUUUAUUUAUUUAUUUUUAUGUGGGGCUGAGGGUCGAACCCAGGGCCUCACACAUGCUAGGCAAGUGCUCUACCGCUGAGCCACAACCCCAGCCCCCAAAAUUCACUCUUUUGAAGUGUACCAUUCAGUGUUUUUUAGGGUACUCACAAAGUUAUACAAAUAUCACUGCUGUGUAACUUAAAACACUUCAUCACUCUUAAGGAAACCUCCUUAUUCUCUCUCUCUCUUUUAAGAUGGGUUCUUUGUUGCCUAGGUUAAGCUCAUACUCUUGGAUUCAAGAGAUGCUCCUGCCUCAGCCUCCUAGGGAACUAGGACUAUACACAUAUACUGCCAUACUUAGUCUUUCUCGAUUUUAACCCUGUUGUUUGUCUUUUUAUUGCUGCCCUUUUUUCUCUUUCUUGUUUUUGGUACUGGGGAUUGAACAGGCUCCACACAUGCCAGGUAGGCAGUCUACCACUGAGCUACAUCCACAGCCCUUUUUACUUUGAGGCUGGGUCUCUUUAAAUUGUCCAUCCUGAGCCAAACUUGGUGAUCCUUCUGCCUCAUCCUCCUGAGUAGCUGGGAUUAUAGGCACAUAAUAUUCUAAUAGUAUGGAUACAGGUUGUCUUAUUUUUUUGGUGCUGGGGAUUGAACCGAGGACCUCACGUGUGCUGAGCUCAUGUUCUAGCACUAAGUUUCACCUGCCACCUUCCAAGCCUGUCUUUUCACUUUAUAUAAUUUUUAUAUUUAUUCAUAUAUAUAUUUACUUAUUUAUUUAUUUUAGUUGUAGACGGUCAUAAUACCUUCAUUUUAUUUAUUUAUUUUUAUGUGGUGUUGAGGAUCAAACCCAGUGCCUCACAUGUGCUAAUAAAUAAGCAAGCGCUGUACCACUGAGUUACAACCUUAGCCCCUCUUUUCACUUCUUUGGUGAUAACCCUUUUAAAACACCAAAGUGGCAGGGUGCAGUGGCACACUCCUGUAAUCCCAGAAGCUCAGGAGGCUAAGGCAGGAGGAUUUCAAGUUCAAAGCCAGCCUCAGCAACUUAGUGAGGCCCUAAAUAACUUAGUGAGACUGUGUGUCAACAUUAAAAGAACAGAGUGGGGAGAGCUAGAGAUGUGGCUCAGUGGUUAAGCACCCCUGGGUUUAAUCCCCAGUACCAAAAACAAACAAAAAACACGAAAGUAUUAAAUUUUUGUGAAGUCAAAUCUGUUUUUCCUUUUGUCACUUGUUUUUGGUAUUAUGAAGACUUGCUCCUGUUUUCUUCUAAGUGUUGUGUGGUUUUUGUUCUUAUAGUUAAGCCUAUUAGCCAUUUGAGUGAAGUUUUGUGUAUGGUAUGAGUUGGUACUGUCCUCAUGGAUAGAACCCAGAAGGAAGAGAGCUGUCUCUAACCUGACCCUAGUCUUCCCUCUCCUGUCACUCUGGCAGUGAGUAGCUUCAUUGAUCUCAGAGCCCUGUGUGGGUACUGGGAAGAGAUGGGGAAGCAAGAGUGUCUCCUGAUUCUUAGGUUGUCAAGCCCUUGGGAAAGGCAGGAAGGAAUAAAUAAAUAAAAGGGGACAAAUGAGCACAGGGCAUGUAGGAGAGACGAAGGCAUUCCAGGGUAGGAGCAGACUGCUUCAGAACAUCUCAAAUUCUGGUGCUGUGGUCCGGCUACUGACUUGGGCCCAAUUGGUUUUGCAGCAAAGCUGCCGCUGGGAAGAUGAACUUGUAUGAGUCAUUUGCCCAGGCCACCCAGCUGGGUGACCUGCACACCUGCCUAAUGAUGGACAUGAAGGCCUGCCAGGAGGACGAUGUGCGGCUGCUAUGCCAUCUCACACCCUCCAUCUACACAGAGGUCAGUGUGUCCAUCCUUAUCCAUGGUCGUGGGUAGUACAGGGGGCUCACAAGUGACCACCUACCUUGGUGUACACUCUGAACAUCACAUACAACCCCUUCUGACCUCAGUGGCCACUGCUUCUCACAGUUUAAUUCUCUUCAUUCCAGUGCUUUCUGUUAAAAGUUGAAUAGUUUUUGAGGCUCCGAGAAUUCUUGUCCUUUGGUUUUAACUGUGGUUUAAGUUGGGGUGUGGACCCAUAUACUUGGCUUCCCGGUUUCAGCCCCAUCAUCUGGGCCUAGAACAGGUCCCCCAGUCAGAUGCAUAUUGGUAUGUCCCAAGCUCUCACCCUGUGAUGGCUCACUCUUGGAUGCUCUCUAAUGGUUCCUGAAGACCAGAGCUCCUGAAGCAGAGAUUCACUUUCAUUUCCCCCAGUUCAUUCACGUCUUCUCUCAGAAUUGGGAUGGAGGAGGAGGUAUCAACUCUUGUUCCUCUUGGUAGAAGUUCCUAGGAAGAGGGAAAUGAGGACUCCGGGUGUGAUCUAACCAGAGGAACUAGGAUCUCAGCCAUGCACUAGGGGCAGGGGGUGGGGUAUCACACCCCCUUUUUGUCCUUCCCUCCUAGACUGGACUCUCCCUCCCCCACCCACCCCUCACAAGCCCCUAGAUACACUCACUCUGUACCUUCUCUUUGUCUUGAGAUGCUGAUGAAUUGGAUUUCUUUGCUGCCAGGAGUAUAAAUAUUUUUCUGUUGCCACUCCCACCUAGAGCCAGCUGGCAUGUCCGGUUAGCUCUGGUUUUUCCCACUUCUCUCCUUGUACACACCCCUUGUGGUGUGCACACACAGAUAACAAACGUGGCAUUUGAAGGGUUGUGUUCCCAGCUUCAUAGCUGUUGGAUCUUGUAGGGAUUUAUGUUAGGAUUCAUGUCUGGCCAGCUUAGCCAGACCUUGAGCCUGUGGUAAGGAAGGUCUAUGAGUUGUAAAGGGAAAGCCAAGGGGCCCACCCUGGACGACUCCUCUAGUUUCCCUCUUCUUCUAUCUAGUUUCCAGAUGAAACCUUGAGGAGUGGGGAGCUGCUGAACAUGAUCGUGGCUGUUAUUGACUCUGCACAGGUGAACAUGGAACUUUGGCAUCUGCAGAAUGGCCUAGAAGGCAGGACUGAGGAAAUCAGGGCCUCUGCUUUCUGUUCAGGCAUACAGGCAGGAGCCCAUGCUCCACAGCACACUGCCUCCUGGCUGCAGUUGGACGUACUUUAGGCCAUGGAGGAUGGGGAGGAAAAGUGCAGAUCAAAGGCCAGUUCUGCUGGGGUUGCUGUUUGUUUGUUUGGGGCGGGUGGGUACCAGGGAUUUAACUCAGGGGCACUGACCACUGAGCCACAUCCCCAGCCCUCUUCUGCAUUUUAUUUAGAGACAGGGUCUUGCUAAGUUGCUUAGCACCUCUUUUUUGCUGAGGUUGGCUUUGAAUUCUUGAUCCUCCUAUCUCAGCCUCCCGCCCGAGCCACUGGGAUUACAGGCAUGUGUCGCUGUGUCCAGCUCAUUUAUUUAUUUUUAUUUAUUUAUUUUGCAGUACUUGUGAUUGAAUUUAGAGGUGCUCUACUGCUGAGUGACAACCUUUUUUUUUUUUUUUUAAUUUUGAGACAGAAUCUUACUAAAUUGCCAUAGGCCUCAAAUUUUUGAUCCUCCUGCUUCACUCUCCUAAAUUGCUGGGAUUACAGGCAUGCACCAUCACACUUGGUGAGGGGUUUUUUUGUUUUUGUUUUUUUCUCAACUGGCCUUCCCCUUGGCUCAGAAUGAAAAUCAUCACAUCAUUUCUACUUGACUUUUCCACCAUGCAUAGGGCCCCAAGAGAUGCUGGGAUUCAUCUCAUGCCUGGACUAAGGAUCCUUUUUUCUCCUGUUUGCUCAUUGGAAAUUAGCACUCAACAGUUCACCUUUCUUUGCCUUUACCUGCCCACGUGUAGGUCUAGAACCUGGCCCCCCAGGUCCUUCACCCACAAGGCUAAACUAAGUAAGACCAGAAGGAAAAGUUGUCCUUUCACUCUGCCAUCAGGGUGUGAAUAGUUUUCCACAAGUGUUCUUGCCCCAGAAUAGGCCCAGGGUUACUACUCAGUUGGUUGCUGUUUGACCAGCCCCUUCAUCCUUCAGAGACUGUAGCUUUCAUGGCAUUAUGCCUCUCCCUUCACAGUGGCCUCUGGCCUCUUUUAGAGCUGAUGACUCUGCCUUUUCCCUCUUCUUCCAUAGCUCCAGGAGCUGGUCUGCCAUGUGAUGAUGGGGAACCUGGUCAUGUUUCGAAAAGAUUCAGUCCUCAACAUACUCAGUAAGUGACCAGACCUUUUAGAUGCCCAGGAGAGGAGAGAGUGUCGGCCUAUGUGUUUUCCAGUGACAAGAACACUGGUUCUGGGGCUGGGAGUGGAGGGGUAGCACGCCACCCCAGCCUACCUGCUAUGUGGUCUUGGAUUGGUCUCUUUCAUAAGAUGGAAAGGUUUACCUCUGUCCCUCUAACUUCAGGGUGGGUGGGAAUACAGAAGCCCUGUGAAGACUGAAAUCAGGUGUCAUGUGGAAAGGGCAAGGGCCUAGAUUUAAGGUCACUGUCCCUCCCCUUACGCCAUCCCUGCCCUAUCUUGUCCCUAUUUGGAGUGCUGAUAGCCAGUUAGCUGAGCGUGUGUGUGUAAGAGAGAGAUAGAUGGAGGUUUCUUGUCUCUUCCAGUCCAGAGCCUAGACUGGGAAACCUUUGAGCAGUAUUGUGCCUGGCAGCUCUUCCUGGCCCACAACAUCCCCCUGGAGACCAUAAUCCCCAUCCUGCAGCACCUCAAAUACAAGGGUGAGUAGGGUUGAAGAUGGGAGAAGACCUCCAGUGCAGCUGGGGCAGGGCUGAGGCCGCCAGCUUCUAGGGUGAACCAGAGCCCUGCUCCUUCCCACCAUGGUGCAGAGAGCAGGCUCACUGUUGGUCAUUGGGCCCUGGAGAUGAGCUUUGCAGGUGCAUCCUGAGCCUGGCCCCUGGGCUGUGGCUCAGAUGCCUCUGGCAUUAGGAUCAGGGUAGGGGAUUCUUCCUGGCUUUUCGUCAAGGACUGUCCUUGGUCUUCCAGUGGCUGUUGGUGGGGGUGUGGGAGAGGUGCCCAGAUCCAUUCGUGGAAUAACACAUUCCUCUGAGCAGCCUGUACCCUUCCCCCAUAGAACACCCAGAGGCCCUGUCCUGCCUGCUGCUGCAGCUCCGAAGAGAAAAGUGAGUUCUACCCUUAGAGACUCUUAGCCCUUAGUCCCAAUGUCCUAAGAGAUACUGUGGCAUAAAGGGCUCUGUCCUGCUCCUUUUGCCAUGUUUGUUUCCUAUUAUUGACAUCUGCUUAUUCUGCCCUCCCCUCAGUGUGACUUACAAAUAAGCAGUCCCCUGGGAUCUGGGCUUCCUCUGACUUUACCCCCCCUGCCCACCAGAAACUGUCCUCAGAGGUGGGGACCGGACAUCCCUGUUUCCUGCUACCACAGCAGUUCUAAUCCUGGUGGCUCAUGCUCCCCUCCCUCAUGCUCCUGCAGGCCACCACAGGCUAAUCCAGGAGGAGGAAGGGUCAGAGUAGAGGGCUCACACCCAUGCUCUCCCUUAACCUACACAGUGCAGAGCCAGCUGGGCCCAUUGUGCCCCUGCCAGGGGUGGGGCAUGGUGGGCAAGAAAGCAGAAGUCUCCUCUUCCAUCACAGGCAACUUAGCACCAUCCCCAGGCUAAUGGGGCCACAGCUGUGUGUCUUUUCCUUCCUACCUUCUUGUCUUCCUUCCACCUUUUCUCCUGAGACACUAGAAAUGGUACAGAAUUUCCUGGGGAAGUGGGAAGUUUGGAGGCCUCUCUCCUGCCCCUCCCUCAACCUGGAUACCAGGCUUACCCCCAGCUCCAGCAGGUCAGGGGACCACAGACUUGUCCUUUGUCUCUUAGUCUCCCUCCUGACUCCUCUGGGGUAGCUAGGAGUUUGUUGGGCCUCCUUCCUGACACAUACUUGCACACUUUCCACCAUCAAACAGAAUAAUCUCACUUCUCCUCUGGCUUCUGCAGAGAGUGCAGCCAUGUGUUCCUUGGCCCAAAGAGAAGUGGGGGAGGGAUGUGAGUGUAGGAAGCGACAGCCAGGCUUGGGUUGGGUAGGGAGGCUCAGAUUCGGGAAAUCAGUAGUAAGUAAGCGGCUCCUAAGGCCAGUGUGUGGGCACAGCAUCCAGCACCCUGCUCCCCCCAGGCCCAGUGAGGAGAUGGUAAAGAUGGUCCUGAGCCGGCCCUGUCAUCCCGACGACCAGUUCACCACCAGCAUCCUGCGGCACUGGUGCAUGAAGCACGAUGAGCUGCUGGCAGAGCACAUCAAGUCCCUGCUCAUCAAGAACAAUAGCCUCCCUCGCAAGAGGCAGAGGUGGGAUGUGGUCCUUGUUUCCUGCCCACUGUCAACGGGGCAUCACCAGGGCAGUCUACAGUGACUGCCGCCUACGGUUGGUGGGUGACAUCUAGUGGUCUGAAGCCAUGCGGCCUAUAGGACCAGUGUGGCUCCUACUCCCCUCUCAUCGUGCCCUGCAGCUGUACACCUUUCUUAGCACACCCAGUCCUCCUAUCUCCCCUGGGGAAUGGACUGCCUCUGUCCUGAGGAGGGAUCUCGGUGAGGUGGAGGUGUCACACGACUGGAGCCCUCCCUUUAGGCUCAGACCAGCUCUUGUCACCUCCCUGUGCAGUCUCAGAAGCUCAAGCAGCAAGCUGGCCCAGCUGACUCUAGAGCAGAUCCUGGAGCACUUGGACAACCUGCGGCUCAACCUGACCAACACCAAGCAGAACUGUAUGCUUCUUACCCUCUUGGGGUCUAGUGCGUGGAGUGCUGCCCAGCUCAGACGCCCCUAAAGCCAGGCGGGUGGCAGGGGCAGAACCAGAACCCAAACUCUUGGGAGGAAACAAGCUUUGGUGUGGUUUAAUAAGCUCCCAGACAUCUAAUCAUUUUUCUUCCCUGCUCUCCUUUCCUUCUCCCUCCAGUUUUUAGCCAGACCCCAAUCCUCCAGGCACUGCAGCAUGUCCAAGCAAGUUGUGAUGAAGCCCACAAGAUGAAGUGAGGCUCCUUCCACUUCUGGUCUUGGGAAGUAGCGAGCAGAAGGCCUAGGGGAGAGGAGGCCCACUGGGGACACAAGCUUAAUAGCCAUCAAGACCCUGAGGUUGGGCUGGGAAUAUAGCUCAGUUGUAGAGUGCUUCUCUUGCAUCACAAGGCUCUGGGUUCAAUCCCCAGCACCGCCAAAAAACACCAACAAAAAAACCCCAAGGUUGAUAAGAGAAAUAGACCUAAGCCUGUGGGCAGAAAACAGCAUGGGAGGUGGCCAUGGGGUCAGGAUGUUCCACUCUGAGAGUUUAUUCUCCUUCCCCUUAGGUUCAGUGACCUCUUCUCCCUGGCAGAGGAAUAUGAGGACUCGUCUACUAAGCCACCCAAGAGCCGGCGAAAGGCAGCUCUGUCUAGCCCUCGAAGUCGGAAGAAUGCCACUCAGCCGCCCAAUGCUGAGGAAGAGUCGGGCUCCAGCAGUGCCUCGGUGAGACCCCGUCCAGCACCAUGGGGAGAGGCGCAAUGGGGCGGAUGGAAUGGGGGCCAGCAGGCAGCUGCCCAGCUAGUGAUUUCCCUUCUCCCCAUCCCCGUCUCUUCCAGGAGGAAGAAGACACAAAACCAAAGCCCACCAAGCGGAAACGAAAAGGGUCUUCUGCCGUGGGUUCUGACAGUGACUGAGAUCCUAUGUUCCCCAUCCUACCCUCAAUUGGACUGCCCUCCCCCUGGUGAAUCAAAGGGUAACAGGGCUGGGGAGAUACAGGGAAGAUGCCCUCCCUGCCCUGAGCUUGCCCAGUGGAAAGGAUGAGCUGCUUCUGACACCAGCCUGAGGAGCUGCCGUGCAGCCCCCCUCUGCCUCUCUGUCCUGGGGCCUCCUGUUCCCCACAUUGCCACUUCCACUGCCAUUUGGGUCUCAUGGCAGCCAGAGGCUGUGCCAGACCAGACCCUGGUGGAAUUGAUCAGCUCCCUGCCCCUCCUUCAGCCCCCUCCCCAUCUCCCAAAGAACGCUUAGCAGAGAAGGGCAGUGACAAAGGGGCGCCUGGCUGAGAGGCUAGGACGAGAGCAGGUGCUGGCUGUGGGUCCGCUUCCUGCUUCCCCGGGUUCUGGAUUUGCUCUGAACACAUGCUCUGUGGUCAUUCUCCACACCAGUGUGUAGUGGGCAUCGACCUGGUAUGGUGGCCACUAUUCCAGGCAGAUGCCAUAAACCUUCAGGAAGGAACCUGAAAGGGACUGUGCCCAGGAGGCUUGGGUUGAUCUGCAGUUGUCACCUAAGGCUGGGCCACAGCCCAGGAGAGUCCCAGAGGCAAGUUCCUCAGAACUGUCAAAUGGUCUGGUUUCCUAGGUUCUGUUUUUGCUUUUUUUUUUUUUUCUUUUUGACUUUUUUCCCUCCAGAGAUAAUCACAUUAAAAAAAUUGUUUUUAAAUGACAAUAAAACAAACCAGAAGAUCUUUUGUGCCGGAAUUGGAGUCCCAUUUACUCUCUCCAUGUAGAGUGGUCUCAGUUUAAUUGGUGCCCUUGUUGGUGGCCUGCCCACUGUCACAGCUUUCCCUCCUCUCCCUUCCUGGCCUGCCUACCCGCAGGAGGAACUUUGCCCUUCCCAUCCUGCAUUUUGGAGGUGUGAGCCAGACACUGACCUGUCCAGGUCAGAAACUGAUGAGGCCCCAUUUCCCUGCAGGCUGAGGUCUGCCCUUGCCGGUUGUUCCUCAAGACACUAGAGAUUUAGUCAAGCCGGGGAUGGAACUCAUCAGCAGAACAAUUUUUCAGCAUGCAUGAACCCUGGGCUCAAUUACCAGUCUCAAAAAAAAAAAAAACAAAAAACAA
Molecule: long non-coding RNA, 41491 nt
Filed under: Marmota monax (woodchuck)
Lineage: Eukaryota; Metazoa; Chordata; Mammalia; Rodentia; Sciuridae
Rfam family: tRNA (bases 19699-19767)
Source: RNAcentral